Molecule: long non-coding RNA, 669 nt
Filed under: Nicotiana benthamiana
Lineage: Eukaryota; Viridiplantae; Streptophyta; Magnoliopsida; Solanales; Solanaceae
Description: long non-coding RNA (NBEN_LNC012916)
Source: RNAcentral
CACACUACAUUCAAUUCAUAAUGCAAGGCUGCAAGCUCAGUAGCUCACGCCUCACUGUCCAGUUUAGUACAUCAGCAGACAGCAAUUUAGUACCUCAGCAGACAAGUGCAAAACUUAUACAAGAGAAGAGAUAAAGGCUUGUACUCUCUGUCCAGUUUAGUACAUCAGCAGACAGGCACGCACCAUCUAACAAUUUUAAUUUUACUAAACAGAGCAUAAGAUUUACCAAACUUCCAACUCUAAAUUCUUAAAUGAGGUCAUUAAUUUAUGCUCGUCUUUCAUUCUAGCUUACAUUCACCACUUGUCACAGAAUGCUAAGAUAUAUGAUCUUGGACGUAAACCACUAAAACCAAACAAAACUUCCAACUCUAAAUUCUUAAAUGAGGUCAUUAAUUUAUGCUCGUCUUUCAUUCUAGCUUACAUUCACCACUUGUCACAGAAUGCUAAGAUAUAUCAUCUUGGACGUAAACCACUAAAACCAAACAAGGUAAGAACAUAGCUUAUAAAAGAAAUACAAUAUUUUCCUUCAAGUAUCUGCACAAUCGCGAACAUGUCGUGUAUUUUUCUGACUUUGCGUGCAAGAAUUCUGGAGCUUAAGUAGUUCCUCACCAAAAAUUGAAUCUCUAAAUGAGCCUCUGCUAAAACAAAAACUUGCUUUUUCAACUGCUA